This 2758-nucleotide ribosomal RNA is filed under the name Klebsiella pneumoniae. RNAcentral's name for it is "partial 23S ribosomal RNA". It matches the Rfam family "Bacterial large subunit ribosomal RNA". The record is from RNAcentral. Lineage: Bacteria; Pseudomonadati; Pseudomonadota; Gammaproteobacteria; Enterobacterales; Enterobacteriaceae.
CACUAUCGUUAACUGAAUACAUAGGUUAACGAGGCGAACCGGGGGAACUGAAACAUCUAAGUACCCCGAGGAAAAGAAAUCAACCGAGAUUCCCCCAGUAGCGGCGAGCGAACGGGGAGCAGCCCAGAGUCUGAAUCAGCUUGUGUGUUAGUGGAACGGUCUGGAAAGUCCGACGGUACAGGGUGAUAGUCCCGUACACCAAAAUGCACAGGCUGUGAACUCGAAGAGUAGGGCGGGACACGUGGUAUCCUGUCUGAAUAUGGGGGGACCAUCCUCCAAGGCUAAAUACUCCUGACUGACCGAUAGUGAACCAGUACCGUGAGGGAAAGGCGAAAAGAACCCCGGCGAGGGGAGUGAAAAAGAACCUGAAACCGUGUACGUACAAGCAGUGGGAGCACCUUCGGGUGUGACUGCGUACCUUUUGUAUAAUGGGUCAGCGACUUAUAUUCUGUAGCAAGGUUAACCGUAUAGGGGAGCCGCAGGGAAACCGAGUCUUAACUGGGCGUUAAGUUGCAGGGUAUAGACCCGAAACCCGGUGAUCUAGCCAUGGGCAGGUUGAAGGUUGGGUAACACUAACUGGAGGACCGAACCGACUAAUGUUGAAAAAUUAGCGGAUGACUUGUGGCUGGGGGUGAAAGGCCAAUCAAACCGGGAGAUAGCUGGUUCUCCCCGAAAGCUAUUUAGGUAGCGCCUCGUGAAUUCAUCUUCGGGGGUAGAGCACUGUUUCGGCUAGGGGGUCAUCCCGACUUACCAACCCGAUGCAAACUACGAAUACCGAAGAAUGUUAUCACGGGAGACACACGGCGGGUGCUAACGUCCGUCGUGAAGAGGGAAACAACCCAGACCGCCAGCUAAGGUCCCAAAGUCAUGGUUAAGUGGGAAACGAUGUGGGAAGGCACAGACAGCCAGGAUGUUGGCUUAGAAGCAGCCAUCAUUUAAAGAAAGCGUAAUAGCUCACUGGUCGAGUCGGCCUGCGCGGAAGAUGUAACGGGGCUAAACCAUGCACCGAAGCUGCGGCAGCGACACUAUGUGUUGUUGGGUAGGGGAGCGUUCUGUAAGCCUGCGAAGGUGACCUGUGAGGGUUGCUGGAGGUAUCAGAAGUGCGAAUGCUGACAUAAGUAACGAUAAAGCGGGUGAAAAGCCCGCUCGCCGGAAGACCAAGGGUUCCUGUCCAACGUUAAUCGGGGCAGGGUGAGUCGACCCCUAAGGCGAGGCCGAAAGGCGUAGUCGAUGGGAAACAGGUUAAUAUUCCUGUACUUGGUGUUACUGCGAAGGGGGGACGGAGAAGGCUAUGUUAGCCGGGCGACGGUUGUCCCGGUUUAAGCAUGUAGGCUGAUUAUCCAGGCAAAUCCGGAUAAUCAAGGCUGAGGUGUGAUGACGAGGCACUACGGUGCUGAAGUAACAAAUGCCCUGCUUCCAGGAAAAGCCUCUAAGCAUCAGGUAACAUCAAAUCGUACCCCAAACCGACACAGGUGGUCAGGUAGAGAAUACCAAGGCGCUUGAGAGAACUCGGGUGAAGGAACUAGGCAAAAUGGUGCCGUAACUUCGGGAGAAGGCACGCUGGUGUGUAGGUGAAGCCCCUGCGGGUGGAGCUGAGACCAGUCGAAGAUACCAGCUGGCUGCAACUGUUUAUUAAAAACACAGCACUGUGCAAACACGAAAGUGGACGUAUACGGUGUGACGCCUGCCCGGUGCCGGAAGGUUAAUUGAUGGGGUUAUCCGUAAGGAGAAGCUCUUGAUCGAAGCCCCGGUAAACGGCGGCCGUAACUAUAACGGUCCUAAGGUAGCGAAAUUCCUUGUCGGGUAAGUUCCGACCUGCACGAAUGGCGUAAUGAUGGCCAGGCUGUCUCCACCCGAGACUCAGUGAAAUUGAACUCGCUGUGAAGAUGCAGUGUACCCGCGGCAAGACGGAAAGACCCCGUGAACCUUUACUAUAGCUUGACACUGAACAUUGAGCCUUGAUGUGUAGGAUAGGUGGGAGGCUUUGAAGCGUGGACGCCAGUCUGCGUGGAGCCAACCUUGAAAUACCACCCUUUAAUGUUUGAUGUUCUAACGUUGGCCCCUUACCGGGGUUGCGGACAGUGUCUGGUGGGUAGUUUGACUGGGGCGGUCUCCUCCCAAAGCGUAACGGAGGAGCACGAAGGUUAGCUAAUCCUGGUCGGACAUCAGGAGGUUAGUGCAAUGGCAUAAGCUAGCUUGACUGCGAGCGUGACGGCGCGAGCAGGUGCGAAAGCAGGUCAUAGUGAUCCGGUGGUUCUGAAUGGAAGGGCCAUCGCUCAACGGAUAAAAGGUACUCCGGGGAUAACAGGCUGAUACCGCCCAAGAGUUCAUAUCGACGGCGGUGUUUGGCACCUCGAUGUCGGCUCAUCACAUCCUGGGGCUGAAGUAGGUCCCAAGGGUAUGGCUGUUCGCCAUUUAAAGUGGUACGCGAGCUGGGUUUAGAACGUCGUGAGACAGUUCGGUCCCUAUCUGCCGUGGGCGCUGGAGAAUUGAGGGGGGCUGCUCCUAGUACGAGAGGACCGGAGUGGACGCAUCACUGGUGUUCGGGUUGUCAUGCCAAUGGCACUGCCCGGUAGCUAAAUGCGGAAGAGAUAAGUGCUGAAAGCAUCUAAGCACGAAACUUGCCCCGAGAUGAGUUCUCCCUGAGACUUUAAGUCUCCUGAAGGAACGUUAAAGACGAUGACGUUGAUAGGCCGGGUGUGUAAGCGCAGCGAUGCGUUGAGCUAACCGGUACUAAUGAACCGUGAGGCUUAACCUU